UGGACAACUCUGCAUAGUACGUUUAGUUUUUCUGUACCGUUCGACCUAAUAACAAGCAUUAUAAAAAUGAAACUCUUUUGGUUUAUAGUAUCAUGUGUCAUUGUAGUUGUUUCAACAGAUGUGUUAACGGAUUAUAAAAGAUCCAUCUCCAUUACAACUUACCACUUACACUGUGCUAAUGAAAUGACUGUCUAUAACGGACAAACUGGUUUGGUGGAAA
This is a long non-coding RNA of Adelges cooleyi (spruce gall adelgid), 220 nucleotides long. RefSeq lists it as uncharacterized. NCBI's taxonomy places the organism in Eukaryota, Metazoa, Arthropoda, Insecta, Hemiptera, Adelgidae. The record is from RefSeq and is a predicted model, not a curated record. The transcript is spliced from 4 exons.